GGAGGAUGCUGUGACCCCUCAAUGGAUAUGCUAAUCAUCACAUCAGAAGCACAACUAGCUUCAAAUGGAAACCAGAUUGCACUUGGUCACUGACGAAGCAGGAGAUUAAACAAGCUACACUGUGUCUCUGGGAGAACAAAAAGCCAAAAGGCACAUUUAUCACCUCUGAAUCACAGUAAGUCCUGCCUUCAAACAAGAUUUUCUU
RNAcentral lists this long non-coding RNA (205 nucleotides) under Homo sapiens (human). RNAcentral's name for it is "HSALNT0019292". Lineage: Eukaryota; Metazoa; Chordata; Mammalia; Primates; Hominidae. The record is from RNAcentral.